RNAcentral lists this transfer RNA (67 nucleotides) under Marmota monax (woodchuck). RNAcentral describes it as "tRNA.Ala". It matches the Rfam family "tRNA", at positions 6 to 65 of the family's 71-position model. Rfam says of the family: Transfer RNA (tRNA) molecules are approximately 80 nucleotides in length. Their secondary structure includes four short double-helical elements and three loops (D, anti-codon, and T loops). Further hydrogen bonds mediate the characteristic L-shaped molecular structure. tRNAs have two regions of fundamental functional importance: the anti-codon, which is responsible for specific mRNA codon recognition, and the 3' end, to which the tRNAs corresponding amino acid is attached (by aminoacyl-tRNA synthetases). tRNAs cope with the degeneracy of the genetic code in two manners: having more than one tRNA (with a specific anti-codon) for a particular amino acid; and 'wobble' base-pairing, i.e. permitting non-standard base-pairing at the 3rd anti-codon position. The record is from RNAcentral. Lineage: Eukaryota; Metazoa; Chordata; Mammalia; Rodentia; Sciuridae.
GGCUGUAGCUCAGUGGUAGAGUGCUUACCUAGCAUGUGUGAGGCACUGGGUUCCAUUCUCAGCACCA